GUGUUGAAUGAAAGGAGAGAAGGUUAGCACUCCCCUUAAGAAGGAUGGAAGAGGUCCUAGUGACCUUAACAACACACAUAAGUUUAAGGCAUUUCCACUUACUUUGCAGAUUCUAACCAUGGGUUGUG
Dermochelys coriacea (leatherback sea turtle) is the source of this 128-nucleotide small nuclear RNA. NCBI's taxonomy places the organism in Eukaryota, Metazoa, Chordata, Testudines, Dermochelyidae. The record is from RefSeq and is a predicted model, not a curated record.